UCUAACCAUCGGGUCCUAAUGGCUCCAUGUCCCUCUAACCAUCGGGUCCUAAUGGAUCCAUGUCCCCCUAACCAUCGGGUCCUAAUGGCUCCAUGUCCCUCUAACCAUCGGGUCCUAAUGGCUCCAUGUCCCUCUAACCAUCGGGUCCUAAUGGCUCCAUGUCCCUCUAACCAUCGGGUCCUAAUGGCUCCAUGUCCCUCUAACCAUCGGGUCCUAAUGGCUCCAUGUCCCUCUAACCAUCGGGUCCUAAUGGCUCCAUGUCCCUCUAACCAUCGGGUCCUAAUGGCUCCAUGUCCCUCUAACCAUCGGGUCCUAAUGGCUCCAUGUCCCUCUAACCAUCGGGUCCUAAUGGCUCCAUGUCCCUCUAACCAUCGGGUCCUAAUGGCUCCAUGUCCCUCUAACCAUCGGGUCCUAAUGGCUCCAUGUCCCUCUAACCAUCAGGUCCUAAUGGCUCCAUGUCCCUCUAACCAUCAGGUCCUAAUGGCUCCAUGUCCCUCUAACCAUCAGGUCCUAAUGGCUCCAUGUCCCUCUAACCAUCAGGUCCUAAUGGCUCCAUGUCCCCCUAACCAUCAGGUCCUAAUGGCUCCAUGUCCCUCUAACCAUCAGGUCCUAAUGGCUCCAUGUCCCUCUAACCAUCAGG
Molecule: long non-coding RNA, 640 nt
Organism: Oncorhynchus keta (chum salmon)
Lineage: Eukaryota; Metazoa; Chordata; Actinopteri; Salmoniformes; Salmonidae
Exons: 3
Source: RefSeq, a predicted model, not a curated record